RNAcentral lists this ribosomal RNA (492 nucleotides) under uncultured bacterium. RNAcentral describes it as "partial 16S ribosomal RNA". It matches the Rfam family "Bacterial small subunit ribosomal RNA", at positions 30 to 507 of the family's 1533-position model. The record is from RNAcentral.
AUUGAACGCUGGCGGCAUGCUUUACACAUGCAAGUCGAACGGUAACAGGCCUUCGGGUGCUGACGAGUGGCGCACGGGUGAGUAAUGCAUCGGAACGUGCCCAGAGGUGGGGGAUAACGCAGCGAAAGCUGUGCUAAUACCGCAUGUGAUCUGCGGAUGAAAGCGGGGGACCAAGCAGCAAUGUUUGGCCUCGCGCCUCUGGAGCGGCCGAUGUCAGAUUAGGUAGUUGGUGGGGUAAAGGCCUACCAAGCCGACGAUCUGUAGCUGGUCUGAGAGGACGACCAGCCACACUGGGACUGAGACACGGCCCAGACUCCUACGGGAGGCAGCAGUGGGGAAUUUUGGACAAUGGGCGCAAGCCUGAUCCAGCAAUGCCGCGUGCGGGAAGAAGGCCUUCGGGUUGUAAACCGCUUUUGUACGGAACGAAAAGGCUCUGGCUAAUACCUGGGGCUGAUGACGGUACCGUAAGAAUAAGCACCGGCUAACUACGUG